AUGUUCCAUUCAUUGUUAAUUAUCCCUAAUUUCUUGGGUGUUUGGUUUCUUUCUCAGUUUGUCUUCCUUUCACUGACAAGUAAGACCAAUCAUCUUUUUUCUCGUAUGACUAUUUUUUUUUUUUUUUUUUUUUUGCAGAAGAUGGCACUGUUUCCUAGAAAAGUGAGUGAAGUUACCCUUGACCAAUUAAGGAAGGAGAAAAGACCCUUCCAGAUGAUGCAGCAAGUUACCCCUGGAGUGCGCCCUCUGCAGCCUCACCUGGUCUGUCCAGGUAAGAUUCCAGUGAUGUCUCACAAACCAGCAUCACACUGCCUGGGACUCUAUGGAGCAGAAAUGCCUGUCCAUUUUCUGGUCACUCUUGUGAAGAGGAUGGACAUUUUGUGAUAGAUUUUCCCUAUGAGGAGAGUCCAACACCAGCCCUCCAAAAUUUAGGUGUGGAAAACAGAUUUCAGUCCUGUAAGGAGAGAAAAGUCAUAUGCAGAUCAUCUGACUCUUCUCCACAAGGGAAGAAAAGCAGGCAGCAUAGCACUCACUUGAUGCUGUUCCGACUCAGAGGAAAACCAGUGGGAGAAAACACACUCUGGGAAUACCAUCUUUUUUUGGAGGGCAGGGGUUGUCACCUUUAAAUUGUAAUAAUGUACUGUCACAUCUGAUCUAAUAUCAGUUAUAAAUUCCCCUGGAAAGAACCUCCCAUCGCACCCACUUCAUUAAAGCAUUCUGCUAAUUUGCCUUCCCUGAGAAAAUGUUUCCAGGGAAAAAGGUGAGAAUCAUCCCUAUAGCCCAGCAGUAGGCUGGACUGGGUGUUACCAGCAACCAUAUAAAUCCUUUAAGGACGUGAUUGUCCUCUUUUCACGAGAGAAUGAAUUAGCAAAAUCAAUCUGCAGGGGUUGCAACUGUUUUUCUUGGGGCAGGUAAAACUGAGAGCACUGUUAUUGCUUAUCUCUCUGCUUUCUAGCUGUGAUGGGAGGAGGGGGAGAGCAGAGUGUUCUAUAGCUGAUUUGAAAUUUUCUGUCAUUUGUGUGAGUGUACUGAUUUUUCUCAAUCAUGCAUUCGUUUUAACAGUCAUUUGUUGAGUGUCGAUGAUAUGUCUUGUAUUUGCUGAGGUGCUGGAGAUUCAACAAGCCCUAAACACACCCAGUUCCUCCUUCACGGAGCCCACUUUCUCACAGCCCCGCCAGAGGCAGAGAGGAACCCAGGCUGACCCGCUUCUCACAGUUGGGUUGUGGGGACGGAUAUGCAAGGAAAGGAAACAUGUGACAGUGAGAUUGGACACAGCUGGGGAAAGGACAGAAAAGAGCUGGGGUGGGAGAGGGCUGGGAGGGACUCUGGGUGGGAAAGCAUCAGUGGAACUUGGGGUCACAUGGAGGCCACAUGCAGCAUGGUGUGCCAUGUGAUCCCUUCCAGAGCUUUUUAAAAAUAGUCCAAAAGAUAAAAACUAAAUGCUACUUGAGGAUACAUUUCUUGUGAAAAGUGAUGACAGGACUAGCACUUGCACUUUAAUGGCUGUGAGAAGAUGAGUGUGGGCAGCACACCUGGGUACCAGCCCCGCCAUGUGCGUGUGCACAUAGUGAGCUCAGAUGUUCCUCUCCGGGCCUUUAGAGAUAGAUCUUUUUCACUCUUCCUUCCUUCCUUCCUCUCUCCCUACAGUUAGUUUACAUUAUCUCUACAAAGAGAAACAGGAUCUUAAAACUGUUUACAGUUUUGCUUCCUAUCACUUUAAGAUUUCUAUUAUGGUUCUCAUUUUUCCCUCUCAUUGGACUUUUGGGUCUUGUAACUGUUUCUGAUUUCAGAAAUGCGGGUUUUGUUGUUGUUUUGCAUGUCAUUUUGUUCUGUUUCUUUGUUUACUAGCAGGGGUUUUUCCUAAUUUAGAUUCUCUGUGGAAGUUCAAAAUUGCUCUUUGCUCAGCGGUAUUCAGUUUGGGACCCACAACUUAAGGUGAAUUUGGAGAAUUUUUUUUUUAAUCCAGAAAAAGAAAAAAAUGCUUAUGGGGUGAGGAAGUAAGAAUUAUAGUGAAAGAGUGUAGGAGAUGAGAUCAUUUCAGCAACAGACAGCCAAAGAUGUCUUGUUUAUUUAAUCCACUGGCUUCAUACUUGGGUCUCUACUCAAGAAAUUCAAAUGAAUUUGGAACAGUUCUCCUUGGAAUUCUGGUUAGAACUAUUCUCACAAACUUUUAAAAACUCUUGUUCCUUCAUCCUCAUCUAUGUAAAACUAGAGUAUAAGUAUCCAACACUGUUAUCUUGGAUACAAAGUAUGCAGUUCACAUGAAUGAAUAAUGACUCAAAUGUCUUUAUAGAGAGAAAAGGCUGAUAACCAGCUGUUUUUAGUUUGUACUCAUAAAUAAAUAAGAGGACACUGUUCCAAAUUGUAGCUUAGAAUCUCUUGGUAUUAUACAAUGUGGAAUUACCGACAAUUAUGUUUGUUCAGUAUUAGAAGGGGCCAUCGUUUUUUUCUGGAAGGAAACAAUGUGAGCCAUUCAGCAUAUCCCCCAGAAGCUGCAAAUAAUCUUUUUUGUUUUGUUUUUAAUUGCUUUAAAAAAUUUUUAAAUUGACAUAUAGUUGAUUUACAGUGUUGUAUUUCUGCUGUACAGCAAAGUGACUCAGUUAUGUGUAGAUAUAUACAUAUAUAUAUAUUCCUUUUCAUAUUCUUUUCAUUAUGAGUUAUGCAAAUAACCUCAUUGCAGGAAACUGGUCUUUCCCUGAGGGUCUAACUCUGGCAUUUGCCUUGUGGGGAAAAAAUUGUUAGUCUUCUGCCCUUUUUCAACUUUUUAAGGUGUUUUCCUUCAAUAUUUUUAUCAAUGUAAAUUUUUUUAACAUUCAUAAGAGGGGCAUAUUUUUUGUGCAUGUAAAGUUCAUUUAGAAUUGUGUACAUCUUAAAUUAAUAUCUGUCUAUAAAAUUAAUAUUUAGAUUUCAAUAAUAAGCUGAGAAUAGUCACCUAUAUUUUUUAUCUGAUUAAAAUUCAGUGAACCGCUGUGACCCAGUGCAAGUGAGAGACCUGAAGUUUAUGCUUCAUUGGCUGAGGCUCACCCAGAUGUGGUACCCCGGUGAAGGACUGGAUAUAAGUCCUGGUUUCCCAGAAACCCCCAGGUUAUGCUUGCCAUUCUUGUUUAAAUUUUAAUAAUUCCCCUUUUCUUUUGAAAAAAAACCAGUCCUGGUUUGCAUGACAAAUUAUAUGGUCUUUUGAUUUAUGUUGGACACUCUGUGGCCACAAAAACUGGGCCUGAAUAGGAAGCGGUCAGCCCUAACUUUAACGUCUUCAUUGCCUUUCUGCUCCAGCCAUCAGGCGGGGCGCGGGGAGGGUAAAAUCCCUGAGCUGAUUAUAAUGGGUUGCAAGGAAGGUUCCUAUUGAUCAUCGUUUCUAUCUUCUUAAAGGGUAUUGUUUUGACCUUAAUUUAUUAUAUAAAUGUGACUUAUAAAUAUUCAAUGAACUAAAGUUGAUGACAUUAGACUUCCUUAAAGAGUCCAAUUUACAAUUUAGUUAUUUAAAUUCCCCCAAACAUAUAAAGAUGUACCUUUGACUUUAAGAUUACUUAUUUAAAACCAAUUAUUGAAUUACCUACUUUAAAAUGGAAUUACAAGGCAAAUCUGUCAGAAUCUCAAUAUGCACAAAAUGUAAUUUAGAAUGAAUCAGUGUUGAAUUUUAAACAGAAUUUGCAUAUGUAGCUUGCUUUAUUUCAUCAACGGUUUACCUCUAAAUCUUACCAAGGUUGGAAGUACUUAUUAAGGCAAUGGUUUUAUCUUUUUUUAAAAAUUUAAAGAUAUUAUCAACAUACUGGUGGACUUAACUAUCCCAGCAGAAAUAGGUACAUCUAGAAAAUGGGUAGGCAUGUUUUUCAGUUACCUAUGCUGGGUAACAAACACUCCCCAACUUGGGGGUGUGAAACAACUAUUUUAUUAUGCUCCCUGGUUCUGUUACAGGCAUAGCUUAUCUCUGCUACAUGACAUCAUGAUGUCUGGAGACCUCAGCUCUGGGGACUGGAAUGGUGGCAGGUGCAGGAAUCACGUGGUCAGACACUGACUCUUGUGUCUGAGUCUGGUUAGACUCAGGCUGGGUCUCAGGCUGAGUUCAGCUGGGAUGGUUGAUCAGAUACCCAUACACAGUCCCUUCCUAUGGCUUGGGCUUCUCUCAACGUGGCAGCUGAGUUCUGGGAGGAAGCAUCCUGAGGGGGAGCAAGCAUUUCAAAGGAUCUAGGUAGGAGCUGCAUGGGCUUUAUGACAUAGCCUCAAACAUCACAUGGCAUUAAUUUGUGGUAUAUACUGUUGCUCAAAGCAGUUAGCCCCCCAUAUUGAAGGGAUUCUCUCAAUAGCAAGAAUGUCAAAGAAUUUGUAGACAUUAAAAAAAAAAAAAA
This 4346-nucleotide long non-coding RNA is filed under the name Sus scrofa (pig). RNAcentral's name for it is "lncRNA (ENSSSCG00030032129.1)". Lineage: Eukaryota; Metazoa; Chordata; Mammalia; Artiodactyla; Suidae. The record is from RNAcentral.